Non-coding RNA from Triticum urartu, 1132 nucleotides. The record is from RefSeq and is a predicted model, not a curated record. Lineage: Eukaryota; Viridiplantae; Streptophyta; Magnoliopsida; Poales; Poaceae.
AAUCGUUUGAUUGGCCAAGCAAACAUGGUGGCAACGAGAUGAAGAUAAGACGGAUAAACUCGUCGGCGCAGCCCAAAAAAGACAGACCGCGACAACAGCCAGCCACGAAGCUAGCUCGCCAUGGCCAUGUCCAUCCUCGGUGCUCUGAAGCUCGCCCCGUCCCCGGCGGCGACAGCGGCGCAGCCGGCGUGGCGCGCCCCCUCUUCGCUGCACUUCCACCUCGCCAACGCCGGCGCCGCCGCGCUGGUCGCCGCCUCGCUGCUCCUCGCCGACCCGGCCCUCGCGUUCAGGGGAGGCGGGCCGUACGGGCAGCAGGUGACGCGGGGGCAGGACCUCACCGGCAAGGACUUCAGCGGCCAGACGCUCAUCAAGCAGGACUUCAAGACCGUACCUACUCCAUCUCUUUCCAUCGAUUCCUACAAUAUGAUGUUAUCAUGCCUCAAAUUUGUUCUUGCAGUAAUUAUCAAAUAUCUAUUCUGCGGCAAACCAACUUCAAAGGCGCAAAUCUUCUCGGUGCAAGCUUCUUUGAUGCAGACCUUACAGGUGCAGAUCUCUCUGACGCUGAUCUUAGAAACGCUGACUUCUCGCUCGCAAAUGUUACAAAGGUAAAUUUGACAAAUGCCAACUUGGAAGGGGCACUUGUGACAGGGAACACCUCUUUCAAAGGUUCCAACAUAUACGGAGCAGAUUUUACGGAUGUUCCACUACGAGACGAUCAAAGGGACUACCUUUGCAAAAUUGCUGACGGGGUAAACACGACUACCGGAAAUGCCACAAAGGAGACUCUUUUCUGCAAAUAAUGUACAAGGGUGAAGAAGAAUGAAGAGACUAAAGAGUUCGGAGGCUGAUUUAGUUCUUGAAUAGUACGCCAAUUUUUUUUCUUUAACUUCCUUAUCCCCAGGGGUGCAGAGAGUUCUUCAAUACAAGAGUGUGAAAUGGUUGCUAGGAAAUCAAUGGGUGGUGUCAGCAUGCCAGGUGUGUUUGGGAAGGGCAAAAAUUAUUAGUAGUAAAUAAAAAAUAUGUUUUUUUUAAAGGAGGAUAUACCCCCGGCCUCUGCAUCUGGACGAUGCAUGCAGCCAUAUUAUUAAUUAUUCAUAAGGACCUUACAAUAAAAAAUAUGUUGGUCUGGUAA